GACGAACCGUGCGAACGUUGUUCGGAAUCACUGGGCUUAAAGGGCGCGUAGGCGGCCCACCAAGUCAGGGGUGAAAUCCUCCAGCUCAACUGGAGAAGUGCCUUUGAUACUGGUGGGCUCGAGCGAGGUAGGGGCAGAUGGAACUUCCGGUGGAGCGGUGAAAUGCGUUGAUAUCGGAAGGAACGCCGGUGGCGAAAGCGAUCUGCUGGACCUCUUCUGACGCUGAGGCGCGAAAGCUAGGGUAGCGAACGGG
This 253-nucleotide ribosomal RNA is filed under the name uncultured bacterium. Its description in RNAcentral is "partial 16S ribosomal RNA". It matches the Rfam family "Bacterial small subunit ribosomal RNA", at positions 524 to 776 of the family's 1533-position model. The record is from RNAcentral.